GAAUUGCUAGUAAUCGCGGAUCAGCAUGCCGCGGUGAAUACGUUCCCGGGCCUUGUACACACCGCCCGUCACACCAUGGGAGCCGGUAAUACCCGAAGUCAGUAGUCCAACCACGUGAGGACGCUGCCGAAGGUAGGAUUGGCGACUGGGGUGAAGUCGUAACAAGGUACC
Molecule: ribosomal RNA, 171 nt
Filed under: uncultured bacterium
Lineage: Bacteria
Description: partial 16S ribosomal RNA
Rfam family: Bacterial small subunit ribosomal RNA
Source: RNAcentral